Phoenix dactylifera (date palm) is the source of this 500-nucleotide non-coding RNA. The record is from RefSeq and is a predicted model, not a curated record. Lineage: Eukaryota; Viridiplantae; Streptophyta; Magnoliopsida; Arecales; Arecaceae.
GCAACGAAAGGAAGAAAAACCAUUCAGUCUUAGAAGGAGAAAACCCAACAAGAUGAAGGUUGAGUGCCCUCUCCAACUAAUGAACCCUGAAUUGGCCUCCUCAUCUUCCUCUUCUCCUCCAACGCCACCAUCUCCUCUCCCUGUAAGUGUCGGACCAGGCAAUCGCAAGUAUCCAUUCUCUCCUUCGUCGACGCCAUCGCCGCCAUUCUCACCACCCGAUCGCUCAUCACCGGAGACCUCACCUCUCUUGCACGAGCAAUCAGCAGAGCAGCACCAAGAACCUUCCGCUUUCUCUUUGGACAAACUCCUUGAAGAAUCUGGUCCUUCAAGAAGCUGGUGCCAUUUUAGAAAUUUUUUGGAAUGGCUGAUGCUGAGAUGUUGCUGCUGCUGCUGCUCCUCAUUGUGAUAGGCAGUAAAUUCUUCAACUCCAAUUCUAGAAAGAUUUGGUGUCAAGCUGACCUGCAACUGUUGGGAGAUUAAUAAAAGGGAAGGUUCAUGUU